Phyllopteryx taeniolatus (common seadragon) is the source of this 636-nucleotide long non-coding RNA. RefSeq lists it as uncharacterized. The record is from RefSeq and is a predicted model, not a curated record. Lineage: Eukaryota; Metazoa; Chordata; Actinopteri; Syngnathiformes; Syngnathidae. The transcript has 2 exons.
CCCCGGAGGUGGUGGUGGUGGUGGUGGUACCCCCUGGAGUGGAGUUGAACCACGAGCGUGAGGAGAUCUCCUGGCGUUUGCUGCGCUGCUUGUCGUCGUACGCUGUUGGGUCACAGGGUUCGAGUCAUUUGAGUGCUUUUCUGGCGUCUGGAAGCUGAGCAACGCCGCCAGCCUCAUGUCCUCGGCGCGCUCGGGCAGCAGCGGGAUGCUCAGGUUGGUCCUCGUCCGCACCGCAUCGUCCUUCUCCUCCUUCUCCACCAUCACCUUCUUCUCCGUCUGCAGCGGAAAAUACAGCGGUACACCAAAUUACGGCUUUUUCCAGUUAUGAGCCAUCACUCGGUUAAUUCUUUUGCUGACACAGACUAAUGACAUUUCAAUAACAUUGGUACCCCAACGUACGACUUUUUCAAGAUGGGAGCCGUUGCUCAGCUGUUUUUUUGCCUUGACAAUGACUUUUGUGAGCUUCACACCACCGCUCCAGUUAAGUGGGGGGAAAAAAAAAAAAACCUUAGUUCACCAACAAAUCAGUUUACAAUUUUGUCUGGGAAAUAAUUGCUUGGGUUCAUGAACUGUUUCCUGAAAUACAUGCGGCAUGCUCACUUGUGCUUUCUCUAACAAUAAACAUCAUUUGCUGCA